This 246-nucleotide long non-coding RNA is filed under the name Carica papaya (papaya). RNAcentral's name for it is "long non-coding RNA (CPAP_LNC008735)". Lineage: Eukaryota; Viridiplantae; Streptophyta; Magnoliopsida; Brassicales; Caricaceae. The record is from RNAcentral.
AAACAAUUCAGAUCUCACGCGUGUGGACGGCCCAGAUCUCACACGCACAGACGACCCAGAUCUCACGCGUGUGGAUGACCCAGAUUGAAUCACGCACGGAUGGUCCAGAUCGCAUCGCGAUGGACGGUCUAGAUUUAUUCCUAUUUUAAUCGCGAUCGGACGGCCCAGAUUAAAUCGUGAUGGACGGCUGAGAUUAAAAGGGAAAUGUUAUAAAUAACCUCACCCACACUUAACCCCAAACCCUAG